RNAcentral lists this ribosomal RNA (329 nucleotides) under uncultured bacterium. RNAcentral's name for it is "bacterial SSU rRNA". It matches the Rfam family "Bacterial small subunit ribosomal RNA", at positions 29 to 352 of the family's 1533-position model. The record is from RNAcentral.
AAUGAACGCUGGCGGCGUGGAUUAGGCAUGCAAGUCGAACGCGAAAGUUCCCUUCGGGGAGCGAGUAGAGUGGCGAAAGGGUGAGUAAUGCUUGGAUGACCUGCCCUCGAGACGGGGACAACAGUUCGAAAGGACUGCUAAUACCCGAUAGUCCGGUUUAGAUGCGUCUAGAUCGGUAAAUAGGUGCUUCCGCUCGAGGAAGGGGUUCGAAGUCCUAUCAGCUUGUUGGUGAGGUAACGGCUCACCAAGGCGAUGACGGGUAGCCGGACUGAGAGGUUGGCCGGCCACAUGGGAACUGAGACACUGUCCUGACUCCUACGGGAGGCUGC